RNAcentral lists this ribosomal RNA (479 nucleotides) under uncultured organism. Its description in RNAcentral is "partial 16S ribosomal RNA". It matches the Rfam family "Bacterial small subunit ribosomal RNA", at positions 331 to 801 of the family's 1533-position model. The record is from RNAcentral.
GUACACUCCUGCGGGAGGCAGCAGUGGGGAAUUUUGGACAAUGGGCGAAAGCCUGAUCCAGCAAUGCCGCGUGUGUGAAGAAGGCCUUCGGGUUGUAAAGCACUUUUGUCCGGAAAGAAAUCCUUGGCUCUAAUACAGUCGGGGGAUGACGGUACCGGAAGAAUAAGCGCCGGCUAACUACGUGCCAGCAGCCGCGGUAAUACGUAGGGUGCGAGCGUUAAUCGGAAUUACUGGGCGUAAAGCGUGCGCAGGCGGUUUGCUAAGACCGAUGUGAAAUCCCCGGGCUCAACCUGGGAACUGCAUUGGUGACUGGCAGGCUAGAGUAUGGCAGAGGGGGGUAGAAUUCCACGUGUAGCAGUGAAAUGCGUAGAGAUGUGGAGGAAUACCGAUGGCGAAGGCAGCCCCCUGGGCCAAUACUGACGCUCAUGCACGAAAGCGUGGGGAGCAAACAGGAUUAGAAACCCGUGUAGUCCCAUGAU